RNAcentral lists this unclassified non-coding RNA (477 nucleotides) under Hevea brasiliensis (rubber tree). The record is from RNAcentral. Lineage: Eukaryota; Viridiplantae; Streptophyta; Magnoliopsida; Malpighiales; Euphorbiaceae.
UAGUGCCUGUCCGUAUAAAGUGGUUAGUUUUUGCAGUGCCAUUUUUCUUCUUAUCUUCUUAUGAUUGAAUUGAAAAUGAAAUCAAAUACCUCAGUAAGAUGUUAUGCAAUUUCAAGUACAAGGAAUUAUCCAUUUCUAGUAGCAUUUUUUUUUAGUUUUCUGAUGUAAAAAUAGAGAUGUUGAUUCUAACAGAAUGUCCAUAAAUUAGUGCAUUGUGAGACCAUAUUCGUUGCGUGAUUGAAAUGGCCGAUGGCCUGCUGCUUGGCUUCUUGCUAAUGGCCAUCGUUAGCUUUUUGCUAAAAAAGGGAUAAUGGCAGUCACUUUAGUUGCAGUCCUGGUAUUAAGCGAGUUGCGAAAGAAGGAUUGCAUUGCCACCUGAUAGAACAAUCUACCCCCUAUUCACACAGAAGUGUGCAGAUCCCUCAGUAGUUCCAAUGUCAGGGUUGUCUUAUGUUAUGCUUGCAGAUCCAAAUAUGC